AUUGAACGCUGGCGGCAUGCCUUACACAUGCAAGUCGAACGGCAGCGCGGGAGCAAUCCUGGCGGCGAGUGGCGAACGGGUGAGUAAUAUAUCGGAACGUGCCCAGUAGUGGGGGAUAGCCCGGCGAAAGCCGGAUUAAUACCGCAUGAGACCUGAGGGUGAAAGCGGGGGAUCGCAAGACCUCGCGCUAUUGGAGCGGCCGAUAUCAGAUUAGCUAGUUGGUGGGGUAAAGGCCUACCAAGGCAACGAUCUGUAGUUGGUCUGAGAGGACGACCAGCCACACUGGGACUGAGACACGGUCCAGACUCCUACGGGAGGCAGCAGUGGGGAAUCUUGCGCAAUGGGCGAAAGCCUGACGCAGCAACGCCGCGUGCGGGAUGAAGG
This 384-nucleotide ribosomal RNA is filed under the name uncultured bacterium. Its description in RNAcentral is "bacterial SSU rRNA". It matches the Rfam family "Bacterial small subunit ribosomal RNA", at positions 29 to 414 of the family's 1533-position model. The record is from RNAcentral.